GGCCUUUUUAACUUUGUUGGACGACGACGAGUAGACGAACGAAACGCGCGUCUGGCGUAUAAACAAAAUUUGGUCCUGGUAUCUAUGAUGAUGUUUUUUGCCACAAAAAUAUUUGACAUUAUUAAUAAUUAAUAUGAAAUUAUAAUACAUAAUAAAUACGAAAUUAUAUCUUCUAAAAUCAUAUCAAUUGCAUAAUUGACAAAGAAUAGCAAAGGUAGGGAGAAUCAUUAACCCCUUCAAUAAUCAUAUAUACAUAUCUAUUUCUAAAGAUGAAUUAAGAGAGGUAUGUGGGUAUGAAUCUUAAAACAAAUUGGUUGAUAACAAUUACAAGCUAACAAGCCAAAGACUGAUGAUAGAAGUAAGUGCCAACAUCGCACAUUCAGGUGAACUCUGCUGACCCUGCAAUAUCAUUGACCAAUAAGAACGAUGUAAUCAAAUCAUGCACUUGUAACUAGUGAACUCCGACGAAAAUUCAAAAAAGAAAGUUCUAAAUGAAAUGGCAAAAUCAAAAGCUCACAAACUUUAAAAGAAUGCGUAACACUUGUCAUAUCUGACUUGGUAUAGGCAUGUUCUUAUGUAGAAAAAAGUAGAUCAAACCUGUUAUUUAAGCUCACACUUAUAUGACAGUUGCAUAAAAAUCCGUUUUAUUGACAACGAUUUGUUAAGAAAACAAACAGACACAAAAAGGCUACAUGUAGUUGAAUAUGUAUAAAUGUCAAAUAUUGGAGUAUAGCAGUCAACCUGGUGCCAUUAUCUUAUUCACUAAAAAAACAAGCUAAUUUGUAAUAUAGAAAUAAAAACAGGCAUAUAUACAAAGCACAUUAAGAAAAAUGAAAGAUAUAAAUACCAAAAAAUACCAAAACAUAAUGACGGGUUGUACAAGUACAGCGGCACAUCAUAUGUAACAUAGAAACACAAAAAGGCAUAUAAACAAAGCACACUCAUACGAAAACAAAUGAAUUAAAGAAUACAAAUAUUUACCAUAGCACAAUAACACAAUGACGGGCUGUACAAGAACAGAGCCACGUCAUAUAUAACAUAGAAACACAACAUGGCAUAUAGACAAAGCACAUUAGAAAAAAUGAC
RNAcentral lists this long non-coding RNA (1086 nucleotides) under Mytilus galloprovincialis (Mediterranean mussel). The record is from RNAcentral. Lineage: Eukaryota; Metazoa; Mollusca; Bivalvia; Mytilida; Mytilidae.